The submitters of this non-coding RNA (70 nucleotides) gave its source as unclassified sequences. The record is from Rfam.
ACUCGGGCACGAUCCGUACCGUCAUAGUUGUUCAGUGUGCGGAACCGACCCGUAGUCCAACCCUGAGGGA